RNAcentral lists this ribosomal RNA (491 nucleotides) under uncultured eubacterium WR813. RNAcentral describes it as "bacterial SSU rRNA". It matches the Rfam family "Bacterial small subunit ribosomal RNA", at positions 9 to 527 of the family's 1533-position model. The record is from RNAcentral.
GAGUUUGAUCAUGGCUCAGCCUGAACGCUGGCGGCGUGGCUAAGACAUGCAAGUCGCACGGACGUAGCAAUACGUUAGUGGCGAACGGGUGAGUAAUGAAUCGCUAAUGUACCCCGGACUCUGGGAUAGCCAGUCGAAAGACUGGGUAAUACCAGAUGAUAUAACCGCUCCGCAUGGAGUGGUUCUCAAAGGUCCGCCGGUCUGAGAGCAGGCGAUUUCGUAUCAGCUAGUUGGUGAGGUAACGGCUCACCAAGGCGACGACGCGUAGCCGGACUGAGAGGUUGGCCGGCCACAUUGGGACUGAGACACUGCCCAGACUCCUACGGGGGGCUGCAGUAACGAAUCUUCCGCAAUGUACGAAAGUAUGACGGAGCGACGCCGCGUGUAGGACGAAGCCCUUCGGGGUGUAAACUACUGUCAGGGGUUAGAAAGUUCUGAUCGACCCCAGAGGAAGGCACGGCUAACUCUGUGCCAGCAGCCGCGGUAAUACG